Molecule: long non-coding RNA, 2922 nt
Filed under: Citrus sinensis (sweet orange)
Lineage: Eukaryota; Viridiplantae; Streptophyta; Magnoliopsida; Sapindales; Rutaceae
Description: long non-coding RNA (CSIN_LNC004570)
Source: RNAcentral
UAUUGACCGAAGCAUGUUACAACCCGUCAAGGCAAGAGAUUCUAGACACAAUGGAAGUGCUGGUAAUGACUGAAGCAUCUUACAAUCCGUCAAGUCAAGAGAUGUUAGGCACAAUGGAAGUUCUGGUAAUGACUGAAGCAUCUUACAAUUCUUCAAGUCAAGAGAACUCAACUGCGACAGUUGCUUGAUACUUGCAGGUAAACUCUCAAAGUUAUUUCCACUUAGAUGCAAGCCUGUCAGUGAGGAUAGACAGGCAAUCUCUUGUGGAAUUUCCAUUACAGCACAGUCACUUAUAUCUAGAAGUCCCAAAGAAGAUAAACCUAAUAAUAAUGAUCGAGGCAAUGAUGCCAAACCUUUGCAGCUAGAGAAAGAAAGAAUUCCAAGUACGUUUGAAUCUGUAACAGAGGAUGGUAGUUGACUAAUAGCUGAUUUAGCUGCUGAGAUGUAAUACAAAGAUUCUAAAUUGCCAAUGUUAUCCGGCAACUUAUCAAGUUUAGAGCAACCAUUUAUGAACAAUGAUUCAAGCCCCGGUAGAUUUUCAAAUGACGAUGGCAGCUCUGUAAUUGCCGUCCGGUCUAAAUAGAUGCGUUUUAAAUGUUCCAUUUUCUCCAAGAUUUCUGGGAAACGCUCAAGAUUCAAGCAGCCAAGAAGAAUAAGCCGAACCAAAGAUCUCAAUUUACAAAACCUAGUUGAAAUCCUCUUCAGCCGUUUGCAACCCAUCAAAUCCAACACUUCAAGAUCAGUUAGGCACUCUAUUGAUGAUGGAACUUCUUCUAUUGCAGACUGGUCUAAGUAUAGCCGUGUAAUUUUCCCAGAAAUCUGUGGAAACUCUAUGAGAUUAACACAAGAGGAGAAAUUAAUAGUUACUGGACAAACAAAAUGAAGAUUGCUUGGAAAAGACCUAAGACUUUUGCAGCCCUCAAAAGACAACGCACUGAGAUACUUGAAAUUCUGGAUAGAUGAGGGAACACAAGCCUUUUCUCCUUCCCAAGGUUGCUCAACUUUACUAAGGUAUUCUGACACAUCAUGUCAGUACCACGGUUUGGUAAAACUAUCAAUUUACCACCAAACGUUUAAACUGUUAGCAUUUUCCCACCAUUCCGUUAAAACUCAGUUAAUAUGUAACGGAAAAUUUCUAAAAAGUCAAUUUUACCCCUGGAGCAUAAAAGACCAUAUAAUUAACUUUUUAUGAAUUUUGUAAUUAAAUCAUCAUUUGUUGUUCUUCCUUCUUAAAGGACAAAAAUUACCCUUUAUAAAUUUUAUAAAAUUGGCCGUGUAGUGCUAGGUACUUCAUAAAUUAAUUUAAUUUUUAAAGGGCAAAUUUAUUUAUUAAAUUGAUGAGCUCAAGACAAUUUAUUCUACUACUAAAAAUCAAUUUAUGAAAGGGAAAAAAAAAAGAAUGUGCAAACGAAGUAAUUUAAUCUUUGAUAUGAUGAUAAUAAUUUUACACAAAAAAUUAAAUAAAUAAAUUUUCCCUUUAAAAAUUAAAUAAAUUAAAUCAAUUUAUGAAGUACCAAAUACCACACGGUCAAUUUUACAAAAUUCAUAAAUGGUAAUUUUUGUCGUUUAAGAAUAAAGAAUAACAAAUGAUGAUUUAAUUACAAAAUUCAUAAAAGGUUAAUUAUAUGGUCUUUUAUGCUCAGGGGUAAAAUUGACCUUUUAGGAAUUUUCCGUUAGACUCCGCAACGUUUUAUCUUCUGACCCUUUUGGUUACGCUCAGCGAAGAACUUCAAUGUGGCAGUUGCACGAUGGUAACCAUCAGGAAACCCAACAUUCAAGCAAGGUUUAAAACCAAGUAUGACAUGAUCUGAAUCAAUGAGUUCUUCAAUAAAGAGCGAAUUGUAACCCAGAUCAACAUGUUUGGUUUCAGAGAGAGUCUCUAUUUCUAAGUCGAAUUGACACUUGACGUAAAAAAAACGAAAACAAUCAGAAUCAACUUGCUUUAAAUCAGGAACAGCACAAAAAGCAAACCCGAUUAAGUUUCUGCAAAAAGAGUGCGGUGGCAGUUGAAUACAUAUCGAAGAUCCUGAACUUUGAUUGCUGAACCAGUCAGGAAUUUCGCUCCCAGGUAAAACAAUUAGGGAUCCCCUGAGUUCAGAAAGUUUCUGUGAAAUGACAUUUAAAAAAUGAAAAUUGUAAGAUGAAAACCAUGAUUUCAGAUAUAACAAAGAGGGACAGAGUAAACAAGAGAGGGAAUUUGAUACCUCGUUGAUUGCCUUUUCAUAGCCCAGUCUCAGUGAUGCAAUUGCCAUAUGCCGAAUUCUUAGUUGUGAAUCUGCCAAAAUCUUGUUGUUUGCUUUUCCAUUCAGUUUCAAGCAGUUAGUAAACCCAAAAUAAAUUGGUUGUGACUCCAGACAUCCCGGUGCCCAUUGACGAAGGUCAGGAGAGGGUUUCGAUAGCUUUUCGAGUACGGAUGCAUCUAGUUCUUGUAGACAUGACGGAAUCUCUGGCAAAGAUUGGAGCCGGUUGCAGUUCCUUGCAUUUAGUGAUUGUAGACACAAUGAAAGUUCUGGUAAUGACCGAAGCAUGUUACAAUCCUCCAAGUUAAGAUAUUUUAGACACAAUGGAAGUUCUGGUAUUGACCGAAGCAUGUUACAACCCGUCAAGGCAAGAGAUUCUAGACACAAUGGAAGUGCUGGUAAUGACUGAAGCAUCUUACAAUCCGUCAAGUCAAGAGAUGUUAGGCACAAUGGAAGUUCUGGUAAUGACUGAAGCAUCUUACAAUUCUUCAAGUCAAGAGAACUCAACUGCGACAGUUGCUUGAUACUUGCAGGUAAACUCUCAAAGUUAUUUCCACUUAGAUGCAAGCCUGUCAGUGAGGAUAGACAGGCAAUCUCUUGUGGAAUUUCCAUUACAGCACAGUCACUUAUAUCUAGAAGUCCCAAAGAAGAUAAACCUAAUAAUAAUGAUCGAGGCAAUGAU